UACGGGGGGGGGCAAGCGUUGUUCGGAAUUCCUGGGCGUAACGGGCUCGUAGGUGGCCAACUAAGUCAGACGUGAAAUCCCUCGGCUUAACCGGGGAACUGCGUCUGAUACUGGAUGGCUUGAGUUCGGGAGAGGUGAGUGGAAUUCCCAGUGUAGCGGUGAAAUGCGUAGAUAUUGGGAGGAACACCAGUGGCGAAGGCGGCUCACUGGACCGGAACUGACGCUGAGGCGCGAAAGCGUGGGGAGCAAACGGG
RNAcentral lists this ribosomal RNA (254 nucleotides) under uncultured bacterium. Its description in RNAcentral is "partial 16S ribosomal RNA". It matches the Rfam family "Bacterial small subunit ribosomal RNA", at positions 524 to 776 of the family's 1533-position model. The record is from RNAcentral.